RNAcentral lists this long non-coding RNA (1170 nucleotides) under Sus scrofa (pig). RNAcentral's name for it is "lncRNA (ENSSSCG00035080011.1)". Lineage: Eukaryota; Metazoa; Chordata; Mammalia; Artiodactyla; Suidae. The record is from RNAcentral.
UGUAGUUGUGUUGAGAGAUGUGUUUUGAGAUCAAUCUCUUGCCAGACAACAUCCCAAUUUCACAGGUGGGGAGUUCCUGUUGUGGCGCAGUGGUUAACGAAUCCGACUAGGAACCAUGAGGUUGCGGGUUCGAUCCCUGCCCUUNGGCUUAGAUUCCGUGUUGCUGUGGCUCUGGCAUAGGCUGGUGGCUACAGCUCGAUUAGACCCCUAGCCUGGGAACCUCCAUAUGCCACGGGAGCGGCCCAAGAAAGGGCAAAAAGACAAAAAACAAAAAACAAACAAACAAACAAAAAAAACAAUUUCACAGGUGGCAUCCAAAUAAAUUUGUAAAUUAAAAUAGAUAUGGAAAAAUGCACUCUGUUGAUAAAUAAGUCAAUGAGAUAUAUAUAUAUAUAUAUAUAUAUAUAUAUUCCAACAGAGCAGCUAAAGAAUUAAUAAGGCAAUCAUAAAGUCUCCUGACACAAUAACUCUGGUGGCAGAGAGUUUUAUGUAUGAGCCUGGGGAUGUACAGCAGUGGCAUUAAUUCAAUUCCUGGACAAAGUAUCUGCAUGCCAGAAAUGGGUGCAGGAACAUAAGUAGGUAAAUAAAAAAUCAAUAAAAAUGUUAAUAUAUAAAUAAAUUCAUACACCCUAGGUAAUUACAUCUGCUCACAUAUCAUAUUGCUAAAAAUAUUCACAGUUCGAUGGAGUCAGUUUUCUUUUUUUUUUCUCAAGGGGCAGGAGUUUGGAACCAGACACCUUCUCUUGUGAAUGUGGUUGCAGAAAUACCUGGCUUGAGACUCUUUUCCAGAAUUGGCAAGGAGUGAAGCUUGACUUCAGGAACACUUGGCUUCUGGUUGUGCAAGAUAUCUGCACAACUUUCAUCUUCCCUCUGCACCUGGCCGAGUUGCUUCAGCCUCUACAAGACACAUAUUUGAAGGAAGUUCUCUCAAUCCUGGUAAGGUGAGUCACAGCUGGGUUGUUUAGGACUCCAGGCAGAAUCCCAGGGAGGAAGGAUGACAAUUGGAAACCUGCUGCCCUGACAUAAAUAGCAGGGUUGUUUAUUUCAGGGAGUGAGCUGAAGUAAUGUGGGUUGAGUGGCUUGGCAAACUGUGAGAGUGUCAUGCCCUGUGUAUCAUGCCUUUGAGUGUGCUGAGUGGGAGCAGAGUAAAUAAAUCUCACCUGUGAGGCA